GACGAACGCUGGCGGCGUGCCUAAUACAUGCAAGUUGAGCGCUGAAGGUUGGUACUUGUACCCACUGGAUGAGCAGCGAACGGGUGAGUAACGCGUGGGGAAUCUGCCUUUGAGCGGGGGACAACAUUUGGAAACGAAUGCUAAUACCGCAUAAAAACUUUAAACACAAGUUUUAAGUUUGAAAGAUGCAAUUGCAUCACUCAAAGAUGAUCCCGCGUUGUAUUAGCUAGUUGGUGAGGUAAAGGCUCACCAAGGCGAUGAUACAUAGCCGACCUGAGAGGGUGAUCGGCCACACUGGGACUGAGACACGGCCCAAACUCCUACGGGAGGCAGCAGUAGGGAAUCUUCGGCAAUGGACGAAAGGCUGACCGAGCAACGCCGCGUGAGUGAAGAAGGUUUUCGGAUCGUAAAACUCUGUUGGUAGAGAAGAACGUUGGUGAGAGUGGAAAGCUCAUCAAGUGACGGUAACUAACCAGAAAGGGACGGCUAACUACGUG
RNAcentral lists this ribosomal RNA (497 nucleotides) under uncultured bacterium. RNAcentral's name for it is "partial 16S ribosomal RNA". It matches the Rfam family "Bacterial small subunit ribosomal RNA", at positions 28 to 507 of the family's 1533-position model. The record is from RNAcentral.